Molecule: ribosomal RNA, 331 nt
Filed under: Enterobacter cloacae
Lineage: Bacteria; Pseudomonadati; Pseudomonadota; Gammaproteobacteria; Enterobacterales; Enterobacteriaceae
Description: partial 23S ribosomal RNA
Rfam family: Bacterial large subunit ribosomal RNA
Source: RNAcentral
GUAUAAUGGGUCAGCGACUUAUAUUCUGUAGCAAGGUUAACCGUAUAGGGGAGCCGAAGGGAAACCGAGUCUUAACUGGGCGUUAAGUUGCAGGGUAUAGACCCGAAACCCGGUGAUCUAGCCAUGGGCAGGUUGAAGGUUGGGUAACACUAACUGGAGGACCGAACCGACUAAUGUUGAAAAAUUAGCGGAUGACCUGUGGCUGGGGGUGAAAGGCCAAUCAAACCGGGAGAUAGCUGGUUCUCCCCGAAAGCUAUUUAGGUAGCGCCUCGUGAACUCAUCUUCGGGGGUAGAGCACUGUUUCGGCUAGGGGGCCAUCCCGGCUUACCAA